RNAcentral lists this ribosomal RNA (1026 nucleotides) under Cyclosa argenteoalba. RNAcentral describes it as "16S ribosomal RNA". The stretch from base 681 to 981 matches the Rfam family "Archaeal large subunit ribosomal RNA", at positions 2151 to 2715 of the family's 2987-position model. The record is from RNAcentral. Lineage: Eukaryota; Metazoa; Arthropoda; Arachnida; Araneae; Araneidae.
AUAUCCUUUUUAAAAAUACUUAUUUUAUUAAUUUUAUACAUUUAAUUUAAUCCUGUAAAGAAAUAAUUAGAAUUUUUUAAAAGAAAUUUAUUAUUCCUUUUGUAUCAGGAAAUUUUAAUUUUUAUUUUAACCAAAAACAUCCUGAAAAAAGGUGAUCUACUAACUUGUUUUAUUAUUGUAUCAAAAAUAUUGUUAAUAAACUAGUAGAAAUUAAACUUUAUCCGAGCCUUUUGAUAUCCGGUUUCUUUCAACUUUUAAUAAAAAAUUAUAUUUAUAAAGAUAAUUUUAUAAAAUAAUUUUCGUUUAAAGAAUAAUUUGUAAGGAAUAAAAGUUUCCAAAAAGUUUCAUAACCUUCUCUAUAUACUCUUUAUAUAAUAUUAUUAUAAAGACUUUUUUAACUCUAAAUAAUGAUAAUGAAAUUAUUAGUAAAACUGUUAUUAAAGAUUUAGGAAUUAAGCAAAAUAUUGAAUGCCUGUUUACCAAAAACAUCUCUUACUUAUAUAUUUGUAAGUAAUACCUGCUCAAUGAAUAUUUAAAUAGCCGCGGAAUUUUAACUGUGCUAAGGUAGCAUAAUCAUUAGUCCCUUAAUUAGGGACUUGUAUGAAAGGUAAAACAUUUUAAUCUCUUUCUUUGUCCUUAAAUUUUAAGUUAAAUUAAGAAUAAAAAUGUUCUUAUUUUUAAAAUAGACGAUAAGACCCUUUUGAACUUUACUGAUGUUUAGCUGGGGCAGCUAAAUAAUAAUAAUCUUACUUUAUAUAUUUUAUUAGAUGACCCAAAACAUUUGAUUAAUAGAUCAAGUUACCAUAGGGAUAACAGCGUAAUUUCUUUUUAAAGCUCUUAUUAAAAAAGAAGAUUGCGACCUCGAUGUUGAAUUAAUGUCUCUUUAUAGUGCAAUAACCUUAAAAGUAGGUCUGUUCGACCUAUAAAACAUUACAUGAUUUGAGUUCAAAUCGGUGUAAACCAGAUUGGUUUCUAUCUUUUAUUAUAUUUGUUUAGUACGAAAGGACCAAUAAAUUUAUUAUAAAU